UAGGGAAUCUUCGGCAAUGGACGAAAGUCUGACCGAGCAACGCCGCGUGAGUGAAGAAGGUUUUCGGAUCGUAAAACUCUGUUGUUAGAGAAGAACAAGGACGUUAGUAACUGAACGUCCCCUGACGGUAUCUAACCAGAAAGCCACGGCUAACUACGUGCCAGCAGCCGCGGUAAUACGUAGGUGGCAAGCGUUGUCCGGAUUUAUUGGGCGUAAAGCGAGCGCAGGCGGUUUCUUAAGUCUGAUGUGAAAUCCCCGGGCUCAACCUGGGAACUGCAUCUGAUACUGGCAAGCUUGAGUCUCGUAGAGGGGGGUAGAAUUCCAGGUGUAGCGAUGAAAUGCGUAGAGAUCUGGAGGAAUACCGGUGGCGAAGGCGGCCCCCUGGACGAAGACUGACGCUCAGGUGCGAAAGCGUGGGGAGCAAACAGG
This 429-nucleotide ribosomal RNA is filed under the name Chloroflexota bacterium. RNAcentral's name for it is "Chloroflexi bacterium partial 16S ribosomal RNA". It matches the Rfam family "Bacterial small subunit ribosomal RNA", at positions 355 to 776 of the family's 1533-position model. Lineage: Bacteria; Bacillati; Chloroflexota. The record is from RNAcentral.